Long non-coding RNA from Helianthus annuus (common sunflower), 724 nucleotides. RefSeq lists it as uncharacterized. The transcript is spliced from 3 exons. The record is from RefSeq and is a predicted model, not a curated record. NCBI's taxonomy places the organism in Eukaryota, Viridiplantae, Streptophyta, Magnoliopsida, Asterales, Asteraceae.
GCCCAGUUGGCCACCGACACCCACCUCUUACCAAGAGGUACCGGGUUCGAACCUUGGGGCGAACAAAGUACCCUCAAAGGGUCGGCUCGGCAAGGGUAUUUACUGCCAGGCUCAGGCUUGUCGGGUGGCGGCCUGGGAGGGGUUAUCCCCUCCGCGGUCAGGGGUACCGUGCAUUACCCUUUUUUUUUUUGCACGUGAUUCCGGAGUGAUGAUAUGGAGACUGAACAAAAGGUUGUAGACAUACCGCCACCCGCAAGCCAGAACGAAACUUUGACUCAGUUGAUUGGUCAACCUGCCUAAACCUGAACAACUUUCUGCAGAAGACAUAUCAGCAGCUGCUUGUGAUGAUAAACCAAAUCGUUUGGCAGUGGGCCGCCUUUAUAACGACAUGUGCAAGAUAAUCGAGGAAAACACUGUUGAUUCAGUAGAAACAUAUAUUGCCAACAAACCUGCGAGUUUCAAGCUGAAAAAGAACCUUCAACCACUAGAAUCAAUACAUCAAGAAAUCAUCAAAACCAUCUCACCCGUAAUGAAAACCGAGAAGAGCAAUGGUGACGUCGCGACUUCAAGUCCACAUCAGCAUGAACCGGGUCCAGUCAACGGGACUGCGACUGCUGAUGUGUACGAGGAAUAUAAACUAACAGUUACAUCAUACUUUCCAAAUUGUGUGUACGAGGAUCUUACUCUCAUAUCUCAAGUCCCAAUCGAAUAAUCAAACACAAGA